CAGCAGCCACGGGAAUACGUAGGGUGCGAGCGUUAAUCGGAAUUACUGGGCGUAAAGCGUGCGCAGGCGGUUCGUUAAGACAGAUGUGUAAUCCCCGGGCUUAACCUGGGAACUGCAUUUGUGACUGGCGAGCUAGAGUAUGGCAGAGGGGGGUAGAAUUCCACGUGUAGCAGUGAAAUGCGUAGAGAUGUGGAGGAAUACCGAUGGCGAAGGCAGCCCCCUGGGCCAAUACUGACGCUCAUGCACGAAAGCGUGGGGAGCAAACAGGAUUAGAUACCCCGGUAGUCCCUGUCUCUUAUAC
RNAcentral lists this ribosomal RNA (301 nucleotides) under uncultured bacterium. RNAcentral's name for it is "partial 16S ribosomal RNA". It matches the Rfam family "Bacterial small subunit ribosomal RNA", at positions 509 to 807 of the family's 1533-position model. The record is from RNAcentral.